Molecule: ribosomal RNA, 106 nt
Filed under: Flavobacterium agri
Lineage: Bacteria; Pseudomonadati; Bacteroidota; Flavobacteriia; Flavobacteriales; Flavobacteriaceae
Description: Flavobacterium sp. MAH-1 partial 16S ribosomal RNA
Rfam family: Bacterial small subunit ribosomal RNA
Source: RNAcentral
UAUACGAUGAAGAGUUUGAUCCUGGCUCAGGAUGAACGCUAGCGGCAGGCUUAACACAUGCAAGUCGAGGGGUAGAAGGGGCUUGCUCCUUCGAGACCGGCGCACG